This 664-nucleotide ribosomal RNA is filed under the name Alexandrium tamarense. RNAcentral's name for it is "LSU rRNA". It matches the Rfam family "Eukaryotic large subunit ribosomal RNA", at positions 44 to 651 of the family's 3401-position model. The record is from RNAcentral. Lineage: Eukaryota; Dinophyceae; Gonyaulacales; Pyrocystaceae.
AAGUAAGUGGUGGAAAUUAAACCAAAUGGGAUAUCUUUAGUAAUUGCGAAUGAACAAGGAUAUGCUUAGCUUGACAAAUGGAGCUAUUGGCUUUGAAUUGUAUUGUGGAAAUGUAUUACCAACAGAGGUGCAGGUGCCAGCCUAUUGAAAUAAAGCGUCAAUGAGGGUGAGAAUCCUGUUUGUCAUGUGCAGCCCUUUGUGCACGGUGUAUAUUUGCUGAGUCACACUCCUUGGCAUUGGAAUGCAAAGUGGGUGGUAAGUUUCAUGUAAAGGUAAACAUGCAAUUGAGACUGAUAGCACACAAGUACCAUGAGGGAAAUAUGAAAAGGACUUUGAAAAGAGAAUUAAAUGAGUUUGUAUUUGCUGAACACAAAGUAAACAGACUUGAUUUGCUUGGUGGGAGUGUUGCACUUGCUUGACAAGAGCUUUGGGCUGUGGGUGUAAUGAUUCUUUCUUUGCAUGCCAGUUUCUAUUUGUACAUCUGAUUACCUUUGACAUGAAUGAUAAGUCUCCUGUGGGGGGUGGAUUGCAUGUGCAUGUAAUGAUUUGUGUUUUGAUAAAUGUGUCUGGUGUAUGUGUGUGUUCCUGUGCUUGGGGAUGCUUCCUUCCUUGGACUUACAAGCCCUGACACACACAUGCUGGCAAAAUGCUUCUGCUUGACCCG